This 770-nucleotide unclassified non-coding RNA is filed under the name Hevea brasiliensis (rubber tree). Lineage: Eukaryota; Viridiplantae; Streptophyta; Magnoliopsida; Malpighiales; Euphorbiaceae. The record is from RNAcentral.
UUGUACACUUUUAAAGCUCCCUUGUUUUCAGUUCCCGAUAGCAAUUAUUUUGUCCAAUUGCUAAGGGCUGCAGAAUUAACCAACUUUAAUACUCUUCAAUAAGCACAAUUAGCAAUUGAGGUUACACACGUGCCAGGCCAUUCAAAGAGGUUUCAAAAUCAAAACAAAGCAUGCCUGCAUCAAAAGCAGAAAGCUCAGGAGAAAAUGCGUUCAGAUCACCGGGCCCACAACCUUCUGAGAUGACCGCAUCAGAUUGGCCAAAAAACCAGCUCUCAUAAUCAUGAUCCUUGUGUAGAUCAGUGCUUUCAGCAAACUGGGAACUAAACUGCUCGACAGUUGUGGGUUCAUUGUUGGACCCCGUGCCACGAGGAUUAAUAUUUUCAGCUGAAACUUGGUGACUGCUUUCACUCAAAUUGCUAAUCCAAUCAUAGUCAAAAUCAGGAAAACCUGAAUCAACAAAAUUUUGACUUUGAUUCUGAUAUAUGUNNCCUUGACGGCACAAUAGGCUGACUGUACACUUCAGGUUGAGAAGCCACUGUGUUUAACGUGACACUGCCCAUGUUGGGCUGGGAGGGGGCUGGAAAAGCAUAUGAGUCGAAAUCAUGUUUGGUAGAGCAUCCUGCCAACCAGAAGGAUUUUUAGCAUUUGUUGUGGCCAGUGAAACAGCAUUCCUAGUAUAGUGUGAUGCAGGAGCACAAUUCAUGUUGUUCACAGCGCCAUACAUAGAUUGGUUCACCGCAAAAGCACCCCUGAUGAUUCCUGGCCUUUUA